UACGUAGGGUGCGAGCGUUAAUCAAAAUUACUGGGCGUAAAGCGUGCGCAGGCGGUUCGUCAAGUCUGAUGUGAAAGCCCCGGGCUCAACCUGGGAAUGGCAUGGGAAACUGGCGAGCUGGAGUGCGGCAGAGGGGGGUGGAAUUCUGCGUGUAGCAGUGAAAUGCGUAGAGAUGCGGAGGAACACCGAUGGCGAAGGCAGCCCCCUGGGCCGACACUGACGCUCAGGCACGAAAGCGUGGGGAGCAAACAGG
This 253-nucleotide ribosomal RNA is filed under the name uncultured bacterium. RNAcentral describes it as "partial 16S ribosomal RNA". It matches the Rfam family "Bacterial small subunit ribosomal RNA", at positions 524 to 776 of the family's 1533-position model. The record is from RNAcentral.